GCUUACGGCCAUACCACCCUGAACACGCCCGAUCUCGUCCGAUCUCGGAAGCUAAGCAGGGUCGGGCCUGGUUAGUACUUGGAUGGAGACCGCCUGGAAUACCAGGUGCUGUAAGCU
RNAcentral lists this ribosomal RNA (117 nucleotides) under Labrus bergylta (ballan wrasse). The record is from RNAcentral. Lineage: Eukaryota; Metazoa; Chordata; Actinopteri; Labriformes; Labridae.